UACGAAGGGGCUAGCGUUGUUCGGAAUCACUGGGCGUAAAGGGCGCGUAGGCGGCGCUUUAAGUCGGGGUGAAAGCCUGUGGCUCAACCACAGAAUGGCCUUCGAUACUGGGACGCUUGAGUAUGGUAGAGGUUGGUGGAACUGCGAGUGUAGAGGUGAAAUUCGUAGAUAUUCGCAAGAACACCAGUGGCGAAGGCGGCUCACUGGCCCAUUACUGACGCUGAGGCACGAAAGCGUGG
This 239-nucleotide ribosomal RNA is filed under the name uncultured bacterium. Its description in RNAcentral is "partial 16S ribosomal RNA". It matches the Rfam family "Bacterial small subunit ribosomal RNA", at positions 524 to 764 of the family's 1533-position model. The record is from RNAcentral.